Molecule: unclassified non-coding RNA, 241 nt
Filed under: Hevea brasiliensis (rubber tree)
Lineage: Eukaryota; Viridiplantae; Streptophyta; Magnoliopsida; Malpighiales; Euphorbiaceae
Source: RNAcentral
AGAUUUUGCUCGUCACAUUCUGUCACUAAAUUUAGUUGAUUUUAUGAUGUUUAGUUUUAAUCUAGAGGUAGUUUUAUAAAUGUGUGAAUAAUCUUUUAUGAGAACUUAUCCUAUUAUUUUCCCCACACAACUUUUGUGCCUCAAAUAGGAUUCUGUUAGGAAAAAAUGUGCUUUGUUUGAUAUUCUGCUUCAUUUGGUCAUCUUUUUCAUGAUGCUUGCUCAAAAAAGUGAAAAAUAGCAA